CAUGCCUACAUACCUGAUUAUUACACUGUCAAAGCCAUAGAGGGUUUGGCUUAUGAAUACUGGAAAGUUUGACUGAUGAUCUAUAUAUGGCACGAGCUGUAGCUGCCGAGAGACCAAUUUAAGUGAAAGUAUUUUGAGAGAAGGCACAGACAUCAGGAAGAGUGAACCAUCAUGUCAUUUACAGUAGAUUCCUGCACUAAGGACAAAUAACUGCUGCACUGAUGACAUGUAUGUCAACUGCUUCCUUGUCCUCCUGAGGAAUGAGAUCAUAGCAUGAUAGAAAAAACUAACACAGUGCAAACACAACAAGGGACUGUGAAGGCUUUGGAAGACAAACAAUAAGUGGACUGAAACACUGGCCUCUUUCACAAGAGGGUCACUGAGUUUAGCUUUGUAACAGACUUUGCUUUAUAACAUAUUUGCACAGAUUUAAUUGACUGGAGUCACUUUGAAAAUGGAUGGACAGCUACCAACUCAUUUGUCUGUUCUACUAAACAGACUAUGUGAAACUGGGAGAUCAUUUAUUGAACUGUAUGAAGACAAACAAGACAGAAUGCAAGCCAUUACAUGUGAGCUUUUCAAGAUCUCUGCAGAGGUAAUAGAGAUGCAGGAAAACAAAAAUGCAAUCAGAACUGUUGGGGCUGUUGUAGGAGUAACAGGGGCAGUUGCAGUUUGGUUAACAGGAAGGUCUGGGCAAAGCAUGGCAGUCUUUGGCACUCUAGCAAUUGGAGGUGCAGUUUCUGUUAUCACAGCUAAUAGAAGCAAAGAAAAGAUGGAGAAAAUAAAAACACGAAUUGUGGAACAGUUGAUAGAAGAAUUCUUGACAAUUGUUGAGCCACACAAUGUUGCACUGGAGAGAAUCAAGAAGGUAUCUGAGGACGUGGAGAAAGAAUCCUCUUCAUUAAUGACAAAAACUCAAGCCCAGGCAAAAAACACUCUGUUGAUAUCAAAUCAGCUUCUGAGGCAAACAGCUAAACUGACAGAACAGAGCAGGGAAGUUAGGGAUGUAACAGUAAACCUAGAGAGGAAAGUGAAGGAACUAUUAGACUUACUUAUCAGUAUCACACGAAUCAUUCCAACGCCUGGGGAGGAUAAAGAGUUGGUAAAGUAUUUCACAGAGUCUGCCUCAAAGUGUCAGAAAACUGUUGAUGAGUUUGCAAAGAUGAGGAAUAUGCUCAAGGACUUUGACAGAAUAUAAUAAAAAUAAGUACUUAUGUGUGUAUCAGCAGUGCACACAUACAUUUGUUAUUGGUUUGACACAGCAUCAGUUUCACCAGUUUCAUAAUCAGCUCCAAAAGACUUAAAAUUUAAAAUCUUUAUUUUCUGUAUCAUGUUUUUAAAAAACAUAAUGGGUGUAGAAAAAAAGGCAGCUUUUACUUAUUCUGAAGGGGAGAGCGAUGUAUGAUGCAAUGUGUGUGAAUCUUUUGUUCCAGGAAGGUCUGCAAGUGUGGUUCACCUGCAAAGUGUUACCAAAACAGACACAUUGUUCACUACUGUUCACUGUAACAUAACUGAAACUAACUGUUUUACUACCACUGCGAAGUGGGAAGUCUCAAUCCAGAGUUGUCUCCUGUAUUGUUCUUCAACAGCUGAAUGAGAGUGCUUCUAAGAGUGCUUACUCAUCUAAUAUGCUGUUUAUAUCUAUAUUUCUCAAACUUCUAUAUAUAUAUAUAUAUUCUCUAAAAAGAAGAAAUUGUCACUCACUGUAUAUGGUGCCUCAUGCACCUGCAAGUCUUUUGGCACUUGUGUCAGGUUGAGGGAGGAACUGAUUAUUAAUGCACUUUUAUCCAAGAUGUUGCCUUGAUCUGCUGUAACUUAUUUGUAUGUCCACUUUGAGCAAAAGCAUUAAAACAAAUAAUUGUAAAUACAUAGAUAUGCAAUAGAAAACAGCUGCUGUCAGUCCUCUGCAUAGCAGAGUUAGCUGCUUUUUUUCGGACAGGGUUUUUUGACAGUUUAAACAGAUACUGUUUGUUGACUGGGAGAGGUUACUCACUUUAGUUAGUAAGCUUUUGUCAGACAUGCUUGCUGUUUCCCUGUGUUUCCAGUCUUUAUGCAAAACUAAGUGUUUUCUGGGUGUAGCAGUAUGGAUAGCAUACAGACAUGAAAGUGAUAUCUAUCUUCUCAUCAUUUUUAAUGCAUUGUUCCUUUAAGCAUAAAGUAUAUAAUAUGGCAGAUAAAUAGUGUGUCAUUCAGCCUCAUCAUCAAUGAUCAAUAAAUGUGGUGCCCCUGCAACAACACAAAUGGCAGACCCUCUUGGUUAAAAUGGACAUUUCAGACACUUAAAGGACAGCACUCCCUCCUUGUUUGUGGUCAGAGGCAAUAUAGAUUCAUUUUUUAGAAGAAAAUUCACAUUACAUUGCGACUGACUCCGACACUGUUGUCAUAUGUUUCCACUUUUUCUGUGAUUGUAUUCCUCUUCAUUAUUCAUUCAAACAGAGUCGGAGCAGUGGCCAGCACUUGUAGCUAAUGCCUUCCAUGUGUCUCUAAUUGCCUUGGUCGAGGUAUUUAACACAAGGUGAAGUCAUUAACACAUGGACACACUUGUCAGAUGUGGAGCCAGGCGGCUCUGGGUGAAAGAGUAGACAACAGAGAAUUAAAAAGCUCAGGUGACAUCCACAGUGUGGGGGACAGAUUCUCAAUUAUAAAAUAAAUAACAUAUAAAUAACUUUCUGUUCAAGAUUCUGUUACAUUAGACAUAACAUAGCUUCACUGAUCACCUUGAGUGCCAUGUAUUUCUGAGUUUAUCCAAUGCAGCUUUAUUUAAGACUCUGCAGGUGUCUGAGAAAAUCUAAUGCUUCAACUGAGACCAAAAAAAUGACUGAGAAAAGGUAACACAUUAAUUUAAAACCAUGAGAGUGAGAUAUGAUGUAGCACAUGAAACCUUAAACUGUAAUCAUACAAUAGAAGUGGGAUACAUGCCUAAGUCAACAGCCCCACCUGCUGUUCACCUGAGAACACUGCAUCUGUCCAGUCACAUGUAGAAACAGUUCGUCAGCAGAGAAAACAAACGGAGGAUAUGAAGACGUUUUUACACGUUACAAUAGGAAAAGCUGUCAAAAUGUCUGCAAUGAGCCUCUGUAGUAACAUUUAUCAGCUGAUAAAUGACAUGAAUUUAUAAUAGUUGAUGUUGAAACGAGAGAUUUUUACGUUCUUACGUCACAUAAACAGGCUUACAGCACGACAAAACACUGAUGUUAAUAGUUUAGAUUCCAGACAGUUUAGCCAGUUGAGUGUAAAAGAGGAGAUGAGGUUGCUAAGUGUAAAGAGUGUGUCCUAGCUGGAUAGUUAAACAUGUUGUACGAUGCAUCAGGUCUGCUGACUGGCACCCACACACAUUAAAAACAAGCUAAAAACAGAAAUAUCAGACAGAGCUGUUGAGAGUAGAAUCCAGCAGGUGGACAGUGUUCAUGUCUGUGUGAAUCAUAAUGGAAUCAAUACUCAGACUCUACUAUCUGACAGUUGAUACUGUUCCUGCUUUUAUUUGCGGUGCUUGGAUUUUCAGUCUUUAAGUUUUUAUUGAUCUAACAAGAGUGAAACUGAUGCACCACCUGGUGUGAUCACCCUUUAGGCUUAUUUAUAUUUUCAUCACACUGGCAGCUCCAUGGACGCCAAAGUGGGUCCAUCAGUCAAUCCAGCACCAGACUGAAAUAUCUCAACUAUUUCACUGUUUUUCUUCUCUACAAAAUCUCCAAUCUAUGACUUCCAGCCGAUAACACAGAGCUCUCUGUGUGUCUUUACAGUAAGCCAUAUGUGGCACACUGUGGUCUGUCCUUAGCUGUUAGAAGAAGCUCUGCACACAUCUCCGUCAGAGGGCUUCCCUUUAAGCCUAUCUGCCAUCAGCACACGGUCAGUGUAAACAUUUGAGGACAUCCCACACCGUCCAGCUGUGCCACAUACGUUCACGUGCCGAGAUGUCACACAAAAACACACACACACACACACAGUACAGAUGUGCAGAGGAACACCAGCAUAGUGUAUGUCACAGGGUGAGGCCA
Lates calcarifer (barramundi perch) is the source of this 3995-nucleotide long non-coding RNA. RefSeq lists it as uncharacterized. The record is from RefSeq and is a predicted model, not a curated record. The transcript has 3 exons. Lineage: Eukaryota; Metazoa; Chordata; Actinopteri; Centropomidae.